AUUGAACGCUGGCGGCAGGCCUAACACAUGCAAGUCGAACGCGUGGCGCACGGGUGAGUAAUGUCUGUGAAACUGCGCGAUGUAGGGGGAUAACUACUGGAAACGGUAGCUAAUACAGCAUACCAUCGGAUAUGUCCCGAUGGGAUUAUCUUGUGGGUGGGGUAACGGCUCACCAAGGCGACGAUCCCUAGCUGGUCUGAGAGGAUGACCAGCCACACUGGAACUGAGACACGGUCCAGACUCCUACGGGAGGCAGCAGUGGGGAAUAUUGCACAAUGGGCGCAAGCCUGAUGCAGCCAUGCCGCGUGUAUGAAGAAGGCCUUCGGGUUGUAAAGUACUUUCAGCGGGGAGGCGUUACCCGCAGAAGAAGCACCGGCUAACUCCGUGCCAGCAGCCGCGGUAAUAC
RNAcentral lists this ribosomal RNA (406 nucleotides) under uncultured bacterium. Its description in RNAcentral is "partial 16S ribosomal RNA". It matches the Rfam family "Bacterial small subunit ribosomal RNA", at positions 30 to 526 of the family's 1533-position model. The record is from RNAcentral.